This 515-nucleotide ribosomal RNA is filed under the name uncultured bacterium. RNAcentral's name for it is "partial 16S ribosomal RNA". It matches the Rfam family "Bacterial small subunit ribosomal RNA", at positions 899 to 1397 of the family's 1533-position model. The record is from RNAcentral.
ACUCAAAUGAAUAGACGGGGACUUGCACAAGCAGUGGAUUAUGUGGUUUAAUUCGAUGGUAAACGAAGAACCUUACCAGGGUUAGAAAUCCUAGUGAAAGCCCGAGGAAACUCGGGGCCUCGCAAGACUCUAGGACAGGUGAUGCAUGGCCGUCGUCAGUUCGUGGUUUGAAUUGUACCCUUAAGUGGGCUAACGAACGCAACCCUCGUUGACUGUUACAAGUGUCAGUCGAGACCGCCCCCACACCAGUUUUUGAAACUUUUCGAAAAUUGAUGUGGGGGAGGAAGGAGAGGAUGACGCCAGGUCAGCAUGUCCCUUUGAUAUCCUGGGCUACACACAUAAUACAAUGGCCGUUACAACGCGUUGCGAAGAGGCGACUCUGAGCUAAUCGUUCAAAAGCGGCCUCAGUUCGGAUUGGAGUCUGCAACUCGACUCCAUGAAGCUGGAAUUGCUAGUAAUCACAGGUCAGCUAAACUGUGGUGAAUACGUUCUCAAGUCUUGUACACACCGCCCGU